AUGGUGCCGUAACUUCGGGAGAAGGCACGCUGAUAUGUAGGUGAAGUCCCUCGCGGAUGGAGCUGAAAUCAGUCGAAGAUACCAGCUGGCUGCAACUGUUUAUUAAAAACACAGCACUGUGCAAACACGAAAGUGGACGUAUACGGUGUGACGCCUGCCCGGUGCCGGAAGGUUAAUUGAUGGGGUUAGCGGUAACGCGAAGCUCUUGAUCGAAGCCCCGGUAAACGGCGGCCGUAACUAUAACGGUCCUAAGGUAGCGAAAUUCCUUGUCGGGUAAGUUCCGACCUGCACGAAUGGCGUAAUGAUGGCCAGGCUGUCUCCACCCGAGACUCAGUGAAAUUGAACUCGCUGUGAAGAUGCAGUGUACCCGCGGCAAGACGGAAAGACCCCGUGAACCUUUACUAUAGCUUGACACUGAACAUUGAGCCUUGAUGUGUAGGAUAGGUGGGAGGCUUUGAAGUGUGGACGCCAGUCUGCAUGGAGCCGACCUUGAAAUACCACCCUUUAAUGUUUGAUGUUCUAACGUUGGCCCCUAAUCGGGGUUGCGGACAGUGUCUGGUGGGUAGUUUGACUGGGGCGGUCUCCUCCUAAAGAGUAACGGAGGAGCACGAAGGUUGGCUAAUCCUGGUCGGACAUCAGGAGGUUAGUGCAAUGGCAUAAGCCAGCUUGACUGCGAGCGUGACGGCGCGAGCAGGUGCGAAAGCAGGUCAUAGUGAUCCGGUGGUUCUGAAUGGAAGGGCCAUCGCUCAACGGAUAAAAGGUACUCCGGGGAUAACAGGCUGAUACCGCCCAAGAGUUCAUAUCGACGGCGGUGUUUGGCACCUCGAUGUCGGCUCAUCACAUCCUGGGGCUGAAGUAGGUCCCAAGGGUAUGGCUGUUCGCCAUUUAAAGUGGUACGCGAGCUGGGUUUAGAACGUCGUGAGACAGUUCGGUCCCUAUCUGCCGUGGGCGCUGGAGAACUGAGGGGGGCUGCUCCUAGUACGAGAGGACCGGAGUGGACGCAUCACUGGUGUUCGGGUUGUCAUGCCAAUGGCACUGCCCGGUAGCUAAAUGCGGAAGAGAUAAGUGCUGAAAGCAUCUAAGCACGAAACUUGCCCCGAGAUGAGUUCUCCCUGAGACUUUAAGUCUCCUGAAGGAACGUUGAAGACGACGACGUUGAUAGGCCGGGUGUGUAAGCGCAGCGAUGCGUUGAGCUAACCGGUACUAAUGAACCGUGAGGCUUAACCUUACAACGCCGAAG
Molecule: ribosomal RNA, 1240 nt
Filed under: Escherichia coli O88:H1
Lineage: Bacteria; Pseudomonadati; Pseudomonadota; Gammaproteobacteria; Enterobacterales; Enterobacteriaceae
Description: partial 23S ribosomal RNA
Rfam family: Bacterial large subunit ribosomal RNA
Source: RNAcentral